RNAcentral lists this ribosomal RNA (566 nucleotides) under uncultured bacterium. Its description in RNAcentral is "partial 16S ribosomal RNA". It matches the Rfam family "Bacterial small subunit ribosomal RNA", at positions 355 to 909 of the family's 1533-position model. The record is from RNAcentral.
UAGGGAAUCUUCCACAAUGGACGCAAGUCUGAUGGAGCAACGCCGCGUGAGUGAAGAAGGUUUUCGGAUCGUAAAGCUCUGUUGUUGGUGAAGAAGGAUAGAGGCAGUAACUGGUCUUUAUUUGACGGUAAUCAACCAGAAAGUCACGGCUAACUACGUGCCAGCAGCCGCGGUAAUACGUAGGUGGCAAGCGUUGUCCGGAUUUAUUGGGCGUAAAGCGAGCGCAGGCGGAAUGAUAAGUCUGAUGUGAAAGCCCACGGCUCAACCGUGGAACUGCAUCGGAAACUGUCAUUCUUGAGUGCAGAAGAGGAGAGUGGAACUCCAUGUGUAGCGGUGGAAUGCGUAGAUAUAUGGAAGAACACCAGUGGCGAAGGCGGCUCUCUGGUCUGCAACUGACGCUGAGGCUCGAAAGCAUGGGUAGCGAACAGGAUUAGAUACCCUGGUAGUCCAUGCCGUAAACGAUGAGCGCUAGGUGUUGGGGACUUUCCGGUCCUCAGUGCCGCAGCAAACGCAUUAAGCGCUCCGCCUGGGGAGUACGACCGCAAGGUUGAAACGUCUAAAGUGAA